GGAGAGUUGUCCGAGUGGUUUAAGGUGCGGCUCUCGAAAAGCCGUGUGCUUCACAGCACCGUGGGUUCGAAUCCCAUGCUCUCCG
Molecule: transfer RNA, 85 nt
Filed under: Eubacterium plexicaudatum ASF492
Lineage: Bacteria; Bacillati; Bacillota; Clostridia; Eubacteriales; Eubacteriaceae
Rfam family: tRNA
About the family: Transfer RNA (tRNA) molecules are approximately 80 nucleotides in length.
Source: Rfam by way of RNAcentral